UUAAAAAUACCCCAAAAACCCUAAAUUCCAAUGUAUUUUUAAGAGAUAGUCUAAAAAGGUACAGCUUUUUAGAAACGGAUACAACCUUGACUAGAGAGUAAAAUCUUAAUACUACCAUAGUAGGCCUAAAAGCAGCCAUCAAUUGAGAAAGCGUUAAAGCUCAACAAAUUCACCAACAUAAUCCCAAAAACUAAUAACAAACUCCUAGCCCAAUACCGGACUAAUCUAUUGAAACAUAGAAGCAAUAAUGUUAAUAUGAGUAACAAGAAGCCUUUCUCCUCGCACACGCUUACAUCAGUAACUAAUAAUAUACUGAUAAUUAACAACCAAUAAACCAAAACAACACUAAAACGUUUAUUAAUUACAUUGUUAACCCAACACAGGAGUGCACCAAGGAAAGAUUAAAAGAA
This 410-nucleotide ribosomal RNA is filed under the name Sus scrofa (pig). Its description in RNAcentral is "partial 16S ribosomal RNA". The record is from RNAcentral. Lineage: Eukaryota; Metazoa; Chordata; Mammalia; Artiodactyla; Suidae.